CGCGAAUAGCUCAUUACAACAGCUAUGAUUUACUUGAUCUUGACAUAUCCUACAUGGAUAACUGUGGUAAUUCUAGAGCUAAUACAUGCAACUACGCUCUGACCUCACGGAAAGGGAGCAUUUAUUAGAACGAAACCAGGCGGCUCUGCCGAGUUUUGUUGACUCAGAAUAACUCAGCUGAUCGCAUGGUCUUGUACCGGCGACGUGUCAUUCAAGUAUCUGCCUUAUCAACUUUCGACGGUAGUGUAUCUGACUACCGUGGUGGUGACGGGUAACGGAGGAUUAGGGUUUGACUCCGGAGAAGGGGCCUGAGAAAUGGCCACUACGUCUAAGGAUGGCAGCAGGCGCGCAAAUUACCCACUCUCAGAAUGAGGAGGUAGUGACGAGAAAUAACGAGACUGUUCUUUAUAAGGCCAGUCAUCGGAAUGGGUACAACUUAAACCCUUUAACGAGUAUCUAUGAGAGGGCAAGUCUGGUGCCAGCAGCCGCGGUAAUUCCAGCUCUCAAAAUGCAUAGAAUCAUUGCUGCGGUUAAAAAGCUCGUAGUUGGAUUUGUGCCUUGGAUGCGGUCCACCUUCGGGUGUGCACUGUAUUCCUCGGCUUAUAUGCUGGUUUUCUCAUUGUGGCCUUAAUUGGUUGCGGUGGGUGACUGGCGAGUUUACUUUGAACAAAUCAGAGUGCUCAAUACAAGCGUUUCGCUUGAAUGCUUUUGCAUGGAAUAAUAGAAGAGGAUUUCGGUCCACUUUUAUUGGUUUUACUGACUGAGAUAAUGGUUAAUAGAGACGAUCGGGGGCAUUCGUAUCGUUGCGCGAGAGGUGAAAUUCUUGGACCGUAGCGAGACGUACAAUAGCGAAAGCAAUUGCCAAGAACGUCUUCUUUAAUCAAGAACGAAAGUCAGAGGUUCGAAGGCGAUCAGAUACC
RNAcentral lists this ribosomal RNA (920 nucleotides) under Ditylenchus sp. S17. RNAcentral's name for it is "SSU rRNA". It matches the Rfam family "Eukaryotic small subunit ribosomal RNA", at positions 88 to 1016 of the family's 1831-position model. The record is from RNAcentral. Lineage: Eukaryota; Metazoa; Nematoda; Chromadorea; Rhabditida; Anguinidae.